UGUGUCUGCUGCUGAAGAGAGGAGCCAAUCAGUACGCCGUCGACGAGAGGGGACAGGACCCGCUGGCCAUCGCCGUGGAAACAGCCCACGCUGACAUCGUGACGCUACUGCGGAUGGCGAGGAUGAACGAAGAGAUGAGAGACUCUGACGGCGUCUUUGGAGCGGGGGGAGACGACGAGACAUUUCAGGACAUCUUCCGAGACUUCAGCGACAUGGCGUCACACGACCCGGAGAGGCUGACCAGACGGCAGUUCAGCCGCGGAUGCGAUGAGGAGGAGGAGCAGGAGAAGGAGCAGGAGGAGGAGGAGGAGGAGGAGGAAGAGGAGGAGUGAUGAACAGCCAACAGUGUUAAAAAGAGGUCAGAGUGACAGAGACUGAGAGCAGGAGCCCGUUGGACUGCAGACACUCCUCCCUGCAUAACCACUGCGUUACCACGGUAACAGAGCGGUCAUUGAUCGUAGCCUUUAGAGGAGUCGACUGACCGAUAACACGUUAGGAGAUUACUCAUCAUAAUAAUUUCUGCUGUGUCACUGCGGCUGGAGGACAAACUCCGUUUAGUCGUCAAUUAAUCUGCUGAUUAUUCUCUUCAUUGAUAAUCUGGUCAAAUAUCCACACUCAGCACGAGUUCUAAUUUUACCUUUUAACCCUCUGAUACCUGAGCAGAUUGGCCUUAUUUCCUCAAAAACGUGGGAAUAUAUUUAUAUUCAGGUCAGAUCAUGACGAUUUUAUUAGGAUCAGCAUCAGGUUUUAAAGGGUUAAUGCAGCACAAGAAAACUGAUGUCAAACCGGGUGUUAAAGGGUUAACUGAUCAUUAUGAAGUAAAUAUUGAUCACAAAGUUUCUGCACAUUUUUAAUAAGUCUUAAAGGGCAUUACAUCGCUAAUGUAGAAAUAAGGUCUUAGUUGGUAUUAAAAUGUCCUAAAAAUGAAUAUCUCAGAAGUCUUAAAAUGACAAACGAAAGUCAAACUUUGUUUUCUGGCGUCAUUUAAGAGAGCGGCGUGCACACGAGGCUCCGAGGAUUUUAUGCAAAAAGUUUUUAAACUUACGAUGGUGGAAACGCAAAGGCACCAACAAAUGGCAGAUAUUUCCCCCAAAAAGUAUUUUUUUAUGUUACAUUCAAUAAUGUAUAUAAAAAAAUGUAAUUCUAAAUAACGGAUGUCAGUUCAUGUUUUAGUUAUCGUGAAAUUGGUCUUAAAUUUCAUUCAGAGAGGCGUUAAAAAAGUUUUACUUUCCUAAAGUAAUUAUGCAGAAUAAUUACAUUUAAUAAUUACAUCAGCAGCGUCGAGUUGUUCCCCAUAAGCUUCGUUUUUCACGUUCACUGAACGUCAUCU
Plectropomus leopardus (leopard coralgrouper) is the source of this 1330-nucleotide non-coding RNA. The record is from RefSeq and is a predicted model, not a curated record. Lineage: Eukaryota; Metazoa; Chordata; Actinopteri; Perciformes; Serranidae.